Molecule: RNA transcript, 2588 nt
Organism: Hemibagrus wyckioides
Lineage: Eukaryota; Metazoa; Chordata; Actinopteri; Siluriformes; Bagridae
Gene: nhej1
Gene name: nonhomologous end-joining factor 1
Exons: 8
Source: RefSeq, a predicted model, not a curated record
GACCGGGUUAUAUGGCCAGAUUUUGACCAAUAUAGCGAGCUUUAUAGGAGGAAUUAUCUUGUCUUGUCAUGUCUUAUUUUAGUAAAAAAAAUAUGUUGCAUGGUAAUUUGUUGUCUUGUCCUUCCAGAGUAGUAAAAUGCAUAUGUUGUCCUUUCUGUACGUUUGUUUCUUGAGAGACAUAAGGAGGAAUUUCGAAUGUUUAGCGAAUGUACAGUAUAAAACUUUAUUGCGGCGAAGCAGUUUUUUUUUCUAAAAGCAUACGUUGUCAUACUAACGAUUACAGGGCGUUUGUAGAAAUAGAAAUAGACGUUAGCCGGCCGUGUCGAAAUAAGCCUGGCUUAAUGAGUUAGCUUGCCACACCUCCCCUAUAUUUAUUCAGUAAUUCAAUAACAGUUGUUUUGUUUACCCCUAACCCCCAAAUUGCGGCCCAAUGUGUGUACUCGUCUGUGCGUCUUAUACAUUUCAUGCUACUUGCUAUAGAGGUGAGUAAGAAACGAAUGCUUAAAUGCUGAAUCUGCGUUUUAAGGUGAGCGGCUAUUAGACGAUUAGCGGUAAUAGCAGGGAAAGAGGAAAUCUAGGGUCCACAAGCUCAUACGAAACCAAAGCAACGUAACUUUCAUACUACUACUACUACUAAUAAUAAUAAUAAUAUCGAUGAUGAUGAUGAUGAUGAUGAUAAUAUUCCUAUUAUUAUUGUAUUAUAAAUCCAUAGUAUUUAUAAGCAAAUUAUUCUUUCGUUUUGUAGAAAGUUAAGUUGCUUUGGUUGUGUAAGAACUCGUGGAGACUAGCUUUCCACUCUAUUAGUAGCCACAAAGCUGUGCCGCUGAUUAAGUGGGAUUUCAGCUGGAUUAACUACAGCAUGUUUAAAUAUAAGUGAAGUACAGGUUGGUGUUAAGCCAUGACUAUAAUUUGGACUUCAAUUAGUCCAUAAUAUAUCAUUAUUGUGUGACAACACUAAUUUUAAUACAUAAUGGGAUCAUAGGAGGGGUUUGAUUUGUGUUUAUAUUUAGAAUCAGACAUUUGAAUUCUUAAAUGAAAUCAAUUAUUAUAUUCUGUUCUUCCAUCAUCUCCAGCCUUUUCAACAAGCAUUCAAAUCCCACCUACUAAAGGUUAACUUGCACCUGACUUCAUGAGGAAAGCAUGACUCAAUAAGUUCUUACCCCACACUGUAAAACCAAUUAUGCAUGUUUAUGCAUGUUUUGUUAGUGUGGUACAGUCCUCUGUUCAGGCCUGGUAUCCAUCUCAGGCGAUCCUCAAAUGUGAACUUUAGUCCCAGAUUUUAGCAUCGUGGAAACCAUGAAAUUUAAAUUUAGAUGGUGUGAUAGACAUGACAAUAAAAAAAGCAUUAUUAUUAUUAUUAUUAUUAUUAUUAUUGUUGUUGUUGUUGUUGUUGUUGUUAUUAUUAAACCUAAAUUUGGUAUGGUAUAAUUCCAAUGGCCUGAAUCUAACUCAAUGUUUAGUGGUUACGUUUAUUUUUAACUUUUAUUGUCCGUUCUAAAUUUCAAGGUGCUUAAACAACCACAGUUAAAUGUGCCAAUAUGGAGAGUACAGACCAUGCUGAAGGAGCAUUGUCAGCUUUGCCAUGGGUGCCUGUGAAUGUGGGGGAGUCCAAGUUGUUGGCCAAAGCCUGGUUUGGUGACACAGAAUAUCGAUUGCUGUUGAGUGACCUGAGCAGUGUUUGGGAGGAAGAGAUGAACAGAAACAGCAUCAAAAGUCGUGCACAGGUUCUAAAUAAGCGUCUAAGGGCUCCAGUGCAUACAUUCUUAGCUCAUCUGCGCACAGUGGCUUGGCCUUGUUUCUCCAGACAAUCUUAUGAACAGAACAAAGCAAAGUUCCUUCUUGAGCAUCAGGAGAGCAACCUAACAGUGAAACUAAAGAGUGAGCUGGGAGAUGUACCAUUCUAUUGGGAAUUCCACUGCACCCCUGCCUCAGUAGCAUUGGUGUCCAGAGAGCUAGUGUGUCCGUUGUUGUCUAUGACUCAAGUGCUUCAUAGGCAUGUUGAAGAACUAACUGCUUUGCUGCUCAAGAAAGAUGCUGAGAUACAAGACUACAAAGAGAAUGGAGCUGUGCUUAGUAGAGGUAGGCUUCAGACUGAGCCAUUUGAGGAGGAGACAUACAAAAAGACCUUCAAUCAGAGGCUUCCAAAGAUGUUGCAGGACAGUCUGGAGUUUGAUUCCGAGCUGCAAGAGCUGUAUGUGUCUAUAUGUGCUGCUAGAAAUGCCCGGAAACACAAGCACUCUGGUGAAUACAGCUCUGCUUCAGUAGACAGCUUUAUCCCUGACCAGGACAGGACCAACUAUGUGCCUACAGGUUUGAGGCCUGCCUCUCUUAGGUCUAAUCCUAAUUCUAUAAUGCAGCAAGUAGAAGAUGCACUGUCUGCUAACACUGAAGAGCUCUAACCCUUUGAGGCCUGGACUCUACAAGACCUCUGUAGGUGUGCUGCUGUUCUGGCUCCAACCUUAAGUCAUUUAAGUUACUGUAAGACCCUUACCUAAGAAGACCCUUGCUGCUGUUGCUGUUCCUCCUGUAGUUACACCUGCAGAUAGACCAGUUAUGCCUAAGAAGAAGAAAACAGCAGGGCUCUUCCA